UUGUUGAUUCUGUUUCACUGUUCCAUUGCUUUGCUUAAUUUCUAUAGGUUCCUUUGAGUCAUUUGAUUGAUCCAGCUUUGAUUUGAUUCAAUUUCUUCAUUUUAAUUGGUUCAUAUCAUCAUUUGAGUGUUUUUUUUCUUUAUUUUUUUUAAUCAACUUUAGUCAUGUUCAGUCAUGUGUUGUGGCUUUAUUUUGUCUAAAUUCUUGAGUUGAAACUGGUUUGAUGAAAUUUCAUUGUUGAAGAUCAAAUGGAAUUCUC
This 259-nucleotide long non-coding RNA is filed under the name Vigna radiata. RNAcentral's name for it is "long non-coding RNA (VRAD_LNC003656)". The record is from RNAcentral. Lineage: Eukaryota; Viridiplantae; Streptophyta; Magnoliopsida; Fabales; Fabaceae.